This 411-nucleotide ribosomal RNA is filed under the name uncultured bacterium. RNAcentral's name for it is "bacterial SSU rRNA". It matches the Rfam family "Bacterial small subunit ribosomal RNA", at positions 362 to 770 of the family's 1533-position model. The record is from RNAcentral.
UAUUGGUCAAUGGGCUUACGCCUGAACCAGCCAAGUCGCGUGAGGGAAGACUGCCCUAUGGGUUGUAAACCUCUUUUGUCAGGGAGCAAUUGGCGCUACGUGUAGCGUUAUCGAGAGUACCUGAAGAAAAAGCAACGGCUAACUCCGUGCCAGCAGCCGCGGUAAUACGGAGGAUGCGAGCGUUAUCCGGAUUUAUUGGGUUUAAAGGGUGCGUAGGCGGAAUGCCAAGUCAGCGGUAGAAGCGCGGGGCUCAACCUCGCUCCGCCGUUGAAACUGGCGUUCUUGAGUGGUCGAGAAGAAGGCGGAAUGCGUGGUGUAGCGGUGAAAUGCAUAGAUAUCACGCAGAACCCCGAUUGCGAAGGCAGCCUUCCGGCGCCCUACUGACGCUGAGGCACGAAAGUGCGGGGAUCG